This 253-nucleotide ribosomal RNA is filed under the name uncultured bacterium. RNAcentral describes it as "partial 16S ribosomal RNA". It matches the Rfam family "Bacterial small subunit ribosomal RNA", at positions 524 to 776 of the family's 1533-position model. The record is from RNAcentral.
UACGAAGGGGGCUAGCGUUGCUCGGAAUCACUGGGCGUAAAGCGCACGUAGGCGGCUUUCUAAGUCAGGGGUGAAAUCCUGGAGCUCAACUCCAGAACUGCCUUUGAUACUGGAAAGCUUGAGUUCGGGAGAGGUGAGUGGAACUGCGAGUGUAGAGGUGAAAUUCGUAGAUAUUCGCAAGAACACCAGUGGCGAAGGCGGCUCACUGGUCCAUUACUGACGCUGAGGUGCGAAAGCUAGGGGAGCAAACGGG